RNAcentral lists this long non-coding RNA (4036 nucleotides) under Equus caballus (horse). Its description in RNAcentral is "matrix Gla protein (ENSECAG00000010721.3)". Lineage: Eukaryota; Metazoa; Chordata; Mammalia; Perissodactyla; Equidae. The record is from RNAcentral.
AGUGCUAGUUUAGUGCCAACCAGUCCCCACCUUCUCGGGCCUCCUCCCACUGGUUCCUCCCCUUUCAGCUGCUCUGGUUCAUAUAAAAACUCCACAGCCUUUCACUCACGGCCUGAAGGAGCCUCCCUCCCCACUGCUGCCGCACAAGACAGUGAGAACGACCCACAGGACCACAGAGAGACAUGAAGAGCCUGCUCCUUCUCUCAAUUCUGGCUGCCUUGGCCAUGGCAGCUUUAUGUUAUGGUGAGAAUCCUUUCUCCUGGCAUUUCUCCAGUUUUUCUUUGCUGCCUCUGACUUCAGUUCACUUUGAUUUUUCCUCCACCUCCUCCACUUCUUCUCUCUUUCUCUAUUAUAAUCUUAAAGUACCAUCAAUUUAACCUUUCCCAAGCCCCAUGGACAUUCAUCCAUUCCAUCAAGUUUUUUUUGCAUCUUAAAUAUCCAGAUUCCUGUAUUCAACUUAUUAGGCAAGUUCUUUCUAUGGUAAGUCACUAUGCACCUGGAAACUUCACUAUUUCAGAAAGAAGAUAGCCAAUUAUUGGCCCCUGAGAUCUCAUUUUUGAGGAUGUUUAUUUAAACUUUGGUAAAAAAAUGGUUAAGGAUAUUGAUUGAAUCACUCAUCUUUAAGAAAAUGAGUUUUCUCAUGAAGUCUUAACUAUAGCCGUCUCUGGGGACAGAACAGUCUCGUGGACGUACUACGUUUGUUCAGUGGAUUUAUUUAAAAACAAAGUUUUACAUUUAAAGAACCUCAGAGAAAAAUAGGUUUUAUAAUUUCUAUUGUGAAAAGAUAAAUUUUGCCUGGUUUCUGCAUGUUGUUAAAUAUAUUUCUGUCUGUUCAAAGCUAAUGAAAGGAAAUCUGAAGCAAAAUUAUUUAGAUUGUUCGGUUUUAUGCUCCAAUUAUCUGGAUAUUUUAGCCGUUCUUAAGCCUAAAUUAUAUUAACAACCAUGUGUAUUUUGCUUCUUAUUCUUGAAAUUAUUCACAAGGUUUCUGCAUCUGAGGAUUUGGUUUCUUUACCGCCUUUUUAACUUUUCAAGCAAAUUCACUUGCUUGCAAAUAUAAGCUUCUUAUUGCCAAAUUUACCUGCUGUGCUCAGGACAGUGGGAGAAAGAAGAAAACUUUUGCUUUGACAUCAUCUCAGUUCUUUCUCUGAACUGGCCUUGUGUCUAGUUUGAGUUGUCAGCUGGAGCCAGUGGUUUCUGUGGCUGCCAAUUUAACACAGGUUCUGAAGAGGGUUUUGGAAGCUCUUAGAAACUUGUCUUGGUAAAGCCCAGCUGAGCAUCUGCCCAGCCUGCCUGGAAAAAUCUAGCUGUUUUCUAGACCCUUCUGUCCCUUCCUCAGCCCUGCUUUCAGUUGGGUCCCAAAUUAAUCAGAGAAGAAGGCUCUCCAGAGACUCACGUGUAGCGCUUAAAUUGUCUUAUUUCACUGGCCUGAAAACAGGAGAGCCCUUGGGAAACUGUUGCCAAGACUGUUCACCAGCUCCUCCAACAUCGGAAAAACUAAAGCACAGAGAUAUUCACCACAACGACAGAGCUAGAGAAACAACCCAAAAAUCCUAAAUGCCUGAAAUUUUUAAUAACCACAUCGCUAAAUCUAUUUCUCACAUCUUUUUGACUCUUCCCUCUCCCUCCUUCCCUAUAUUUAGACUACUGCAGUGGGUGAUAAAUAACAAUAAAAUGAAUCUUUGUUUUUAAUUUCAGAAUCUCACGAAAGCUUGGAAUCCUAUGAACUUAAUCCCUUCCUUAACAGGAGAAAUGCUAAUACCUUUAUGACUCCGCAGCAGAGAUGGAGAGCUAGAGCCCAAGAAAGGAUCCGAGAAAGCACCAAGCCUGCCCAUGAGCUCAACCGGGAAGCCUGUGAGGACUUCAAACUUUGCGAACGCUAUGCUAUGGUUUACGGAUACGAUGCUGCCUACAAUCGCUAUUUCCGGCAGCGCCGAUGGGAAAAAUGAGAUUGGGAAACGUCUCUUUCUUUCCAGAGCCUGGUGCCUGGUUUUGUAUUCCCUUGCAGUAGCAUCACUGAACUAUAUAGACACACACAAAUUGCUUGUUUCUUAAAUGUUCUCGUCUGGCUGCACCCGUCCUUCCUGCCCGCAUUGAUGAGUAGUGAAAGUGCAGUGUAGUGAAGGUUGAAGGGGAGUUAAGAUGUGUAAUUACUACACAAUAAACUUCUGGUUGGAUCCUUUCAUUUUGUGAGUCUGAUUCUUCUGGGAAAAUGCUGAGAUGUUUAAAUCACAGCCAUCUAACCCAGAAUAGGAGAUUCUGUCAGUCAUGUUCUAGUGUCAAUCAGAAGCAAAACUAUAUAGGAAUAAUGAACUUUAGAAGACAUUCACCCAGCCCUAAUUUGUCUAGACUCUCUCUGCCUUGGUAUCAGUAAAUGAUUGCUUUCUAUUAUGUGUUUUCCAGGAUUUUCAAACAUCAUAGACACUUAACCAUUUUAUUUUCCUGCUCCCAAACUUUAAAUGGCUCCUAAAUUCCUUCCGUGUGUGACUCUGUAUCCUGGCUCAUCACCCUCAUGUGAAAGUUAUCAGUUCCUAAGAUGCUACACUUUCCACUCUUACUUGUACAGAGAAAAUAUUUGCUUUCAUAAUCACCAGUGAUGUUAAAAUGACACAUCCGUGGAAUUUUGGAGCCAGACAUGAUGCUAGAGGUCCUUUAGGCCUGAUUUGCUGAGGAGUAAAUGAGGCUCCGAAGUCUUCCCUCCUUGGUUGUUAAGAAUAGAAGCCAGCACUUCUCAGUGUCAAUUCAGACUUUGUUCUUUUCUGCCAUGUACACUUGUCAAGCCCACCUUUUACAUCCAUUCCUUCUGGUAGGUCCACUGUAUAUCUCUUUAGUGGAGUGUCUUUCCACUCCUUCAAAAUCCUACUCAAAACUCAAGUACUUUAUGAAAUCAGUAAUGAUUAAAACUACUCACCUUGUAUCAGUAUUCAGCCUUUUGAGAAUGAUGUAAAGAACUAAGUACGAUAUUAUUCAGUUCGUGUUUUGAUUAAAGUUUAUUUUCAUGUAUAUUUGGCUUGUCUAGCAUUAUGGUAAAUUCUUUGAGAGCAGGCACUGUAACUGCAAUUUUUCCUCUCUAUAACCUUAGUACCAUGUUCUGUUCACAAAGAGUAUUCUGUGAAAGCUGAAUGAACAACAGACUGCCUAGUCAUGCCUGGGAGUGAUCACCGAAUUCUGAAACGGUUAGAUUCAUCAUAAAAAUGUGUGUUGUAUAUUUUAAACCAUGAUCAUGUUAAUAUGAUGGUGAGAUUUGUAUAAUUUUCUGAGCUCUUUUGCAUGCAGUAACUCAUUAGAUAAUACAACAACCCAGAAGAUGGGUAAUAUUUAGAUGGUAAAAUUGAGACUCAGAGAAAUAACUUUCUGAAGAUGUUGCAGUAGAUGCAGGGGUAUGCCACUCAGACUGAGAAAUUAUUCCCAUGGCCACCAGGGUAUUGGGAGCUGAUGGUUUCCAGCUCAGAACUUGAGUACAUCUCUCUACAGAUCUCUAGAGCACUCUUUGUGAGCAUCUCUCUCCUCUCUGGUUCUCUUUCCUCUGAUUACUAACCACCUCUCUGGACUCCCAGCUGCGUCUCCUCAAUUGAGGAGAGCCAUAAAAGCUCUGUCAGGGUUCCAUUUUCCUUCCCAUGGCCUGAAAAGUCUCCAGGAAGUAAGUUGGGACAAUUAAAGGGCUCACUUUAUUUGUCUCCCAUCUCUCAUGCAUCACUGUCAAGCAAUUCAAAAGAAGAUAAAAGGAAAACAAAAAGAGGAAAAGGGGAAAAAACUCAGAAGAGAUAAAUUGAAAACAAGUGGCAAGGUGAUAGACUUAAACCUAUCUCAAUAAUCUCAUUAUAUGUAAAUAGUAUAAACGGUCCAAUUAUUUUUUUACUUCUACACAUGUUAUAGAUCCUACAGUAUGUUGUUUAAUAUUUUUCUUGAACAAUUAUUUUUUAAAAGGUUUAGAUAAUACAAAAAAUAUCUCAUACGUCUACCCAUGUAGUUUCCAUUUUGAUGUUCUUCAUUCUUUUGUGUGCAUCCAGAUUUCCAUCUGGUGUAAUUUUCCUUUGGC